AGAUGUGGGUGAUCUGGCUGUGAUAUAUGUUACCCUGUUGAUUGCUAAUGUCGAUUCAGCUGAUCUGACUGGGUAGUGGGGUGUUCCCUUCCUCCCUCACCAUUCCAUGUGCCUACCUCCUGAAGCUGCAAGCUUGAAGAAGACAGCCUUCUCAGAUAGUGGAGGGUCUUUCUUUAGUCAGGGGUAUAUGCACACCUGCACUCCCUUGCAAGAGCAUCUAAGGGAGCUGUCAAAAUAAAAAGCAUUUUAGUUAUUCAAAUAUAGGAACAUAAGAAGAUAAACUCAGGAUGAAAAAAUGAAAUACAUGUUGUUGUUA
This is an unclassified non-coding RNA of Cricetulus griseus (Chinese hamster), 316 nucleotides long. Its record names the gene 7SK. It matches the Rfam family "7SK RNA". Rfam says of the family: 7SK was discovered as an abundant small nuclear RNA in the mid-70s but a possible function has only recently been suggested. Two independent studies have found that 7SK RNA binds the CDK9/cyclin T complex (known as elongation factor P-TEFb). P-TEFb activates transcription by phosphorylating the C-terminal domain of RNA polymerase II. The record is from Ensembl. Lineage: Eukaryota; Metazoa; Chordata; Mammalia; Rodentia; Cricetidae.